CCUACGGGGGUCAGCAGUGAGGAAUAUUGGUCAAUGGCCGGAAGGCUGAACCAGCCAAGCAGCGUGAAGGACGAAGGUGCCAAGCAUUGUAAACUUCUUUUGUCAAGGGACAAAAUCAGGCUCGAGAGCCUGACCGAGGGUACUUGAAGAAAAAGCAUCGGCUAACUCCGUGCCAGCAGCCGCGGUAAUACGGAGGAUGCGAGCGUUAUCCGGAUUUAUUGGGUUUAAAGGGUGAGUAGGCGGACGGUUAAGUCAGCGGGAAAAGCCAGGGGUGAAACCCCGGGGGGCCGGUGAAACUGGCUGUCUUGAGAUGUCGAGAGGUAUGCGGAAUGCGCAGUGUAGCGGUGAAAUGCUUAGAUAGUGCGCAGAACUCCGAUUGCGAAGGCAGCAUACCGGCGGCGAUCUGACGCUGAGGCACGAAAGCGUGGGUAUCGAACAGGAUUAGAUACCCGAGUAGUC
This 459-nucleotide ribosomal RNA is filed under the name uncultured bacterium. Its description in RNAcentral is "partial 16S ribosomal RNA". It matches the Rfam family "Bacterial small subunit ribosomal RNA", at positions 338 to 795 of the family's 1533-position model. The record is from RNAcentral.